UCUCAACACUCUGACUGGACACACUGAGUGGGUCACCAAGGUGUUGUUACAGAAGAGUGAAGUAGAAUCUAUGGUGCAUAGUCCUGGUGAUUAUAUCCUCCUAAGUGCUGAUAAGUAUGAAAUUAAGGUCUGGCCUUA
Micropterus salmoides (largemouth bass) is the source of this 138-nucleotide long non-coding RNA. RefSeq lists it as uncharacterized. The record is from RefSeq and is a predicted model, not a curated record. Lineage: Eukaryota; Metazoa; Chordata; Actinopteri; Centrarchiformes; Centrarchidae. The transcript is spliced from 3 exons.